Molecule: long non-coding RNA, 2663 nt
Organism: Lytechinus pictus (painted urchin)
Lineage: Eukaryota; Metazoa; Echinodermata; Echinoidea; Temnopleuroida; Toxopneustidae
Exons: 2
Source: RefSeq, a predicted model, not a curated record
AGUUCUUACUUAUUGUGAAGUGAAGCGAUUACCAGGUGUUCUCUACGUUACCUUUAUAUCUGAUAGGGAGCCAUUAGCUCUUCUCAUAGCAUCCUUCAUGCCUCUAUUAUCAUGCUCUAUUCUACAACCAUACAUAAAGGAUGUAUCUCAACAACUUGAAGCUGAGCAGAAGCAGUUGACAUCUUUUAUGAAAGACACCGGUUCACUUUACACCUGAUGAUUGGUGCUGUACUCUACACCAUUGCUACACAACACAACACAUAUAAAAAUCAUGUUUGAUGUGUAUUCAAAAUAAUGCCACCAUAUGAUGCAUUAUUAUAGGUUUUACAGCAAGGACAUUCUUAGUAGUCACAUUCUGCAUUAGUUCUGAAUGACAGCAAGGUCCUUGCUAGAGCAGUUCAAAACCUAAAACUGCUGGCAGGUAUAUGAUAGUAAAUAACGUGUAAUCUCAUUGAUUAAUACACAGUAUCAUAUCUCUUAACUGGCAUGAUCUGACAUAUAUGCAUCGAUGCGUUUUAUAAUGCAUGCAAAUAAUCUUUGUGAAACACUCCCUGAUUACUCACAGAAAAAAAAUCCAAAUUAGCCAAAGGGAGUGUAAUCAAUAGUUUAUGUAUCAUAAAUCUUACUAUAAAUUGCUUUACAUUUCAAUAAAAAAAUGUGACUAGGAAGAUGCAAACAAAAAAAGAUACCCCCCCCCCUCAACUGCAGGGGCUCUCCCACUUCCAUUGUGAUUGUUAAGAGGGCCAUCUGGAGAGGUUAGAGCUGCACACUGUUUUUUUCUUGCUUUCAUUGGAUAUAUUUUUUGUUUUGUAAUAAGUUCCUUAUUGACUACUGAUAUUUGUAAUUUAUAGGCAUGUACCAUCUGAUGUCAGUAGACAAUUGGUUCAAGCAUAAUAACAUUACGGGUAAUCCUAUACUCAUUUGUAUCUUUGAAAUUCCAUUGCUAUCAAGCGUCAGGGUGUGUGUGCAGGAUUAUGUUGACUCAUAACGUCAUUUAAAACUGGAAAUAUUUGCUUGAAAUCAUUGAUUUUGCUAGAUCAAUUCUUUUGUUUGAUAUUAAAUUUUAUAAAUUAAGCCUCCUUCAAAUAUAAGCUGUAGAUGAGUUUAUACAAAUCAAGCUUGAAUUCAUGUAUUUGGGGACUCCCCUAUGCUUGGAGCCGGCAAUUGCUUGCAGUAAUACUUCAAAUUCAAUCACCGGUUUGUAACACUGCAUUGUACGUAAAUUAAAGAGAGCUAUGUUGUUUAUAGAUUUGUACCUUUGACUUAAUGCAUGAAGUUCAAAUGUGUACUCUUGCGAGUUGACGUAACAUUCACUAACAUGUACUGUAAUAAAGUAAUGUUACUUCAAUAAUUUUAGACGCAUACUUUGUGUUUGAUUCAAAACUUCUGUCAUUUAAGAAUUACAGUUACAUGUGUACAUGUAAAAGUACUGCUCUCUUUAAACCAAUGGGGUAGAUUGCAUUUGAUGUCCUGUAAAUUAGAACAUUGCAGUUGUCAUUUCUGCUAGUAUUAGUCCAGAAGGUACUACAAUAUUUAGCUUGUCUAGAAAUCAUAAAACUGAAUCAUCAUGAUUUCUAUCUGAUUACUAUCACAAGGGUAAAAUGAACAUAACUGUGGGUCUUGAUCUUAAUUGAGUAUUGAUCUUGUAAAGGGGCCCUGGUUCCCAUCUUGCAAAGAGUUAAUGAUUGAUCUGAUCAAGCUCAACUAUAUCAAAAUCCAUCAUAGUCAUAUUUUUUUUCUAAAUGUGCCUAAUAUCCUUUGUUAAACAAAGUGGAGCACACUGAAUUUUCAAGAGAGCGAUGGAUGUCUGAAUAUACAUCGUAUCUAGAAGAUAUUUUGAACAAACUUCCAUUUGGGAUGUUGCUGGCCGUCCAUAGUUGUAAUUGAUUGCAUCUAUCACGACUCUGAUGGGGUCCUGAUCUUUUCAUGGGUUUUCUCCUUUUACUUUGUUUCACUGUGUGGUCUUGCUUUUUAAUUGUACAAAUUGAAAUGACUAAUGUAGGAAAUUUCUUAAUAUUACUAUGAAACAAGUAUUAUUUUAUGAAAAAAAGUGCUGUGAAGAUAAUGGUUGCUGAGAUAUAAUUUUAUUAAUGGUUUGAUGCUGUACUGAAAUGAGUUCCAAACAAUAUUUGCGUUUUUUACUCAAACUUACAAUCCGAUUUUCUUUCCACCAUUUUGAAAAUGUUUAGUAGAUUUUUCUAGGAGGUGCUGAAAUAGUUUUAAAUAAAUUCUAACUUGUUUGGUUGUAACAGUACUUUAAAUAGUAAAGUCGACUUUGUUUCCCUCUGUCACAAAUAAUUGAAGAAAUAUUAUAAUUAUUUAGAAAUUCAACUUUAUGCACAUAAACAUCUCAAAAUUUCAAGCUAUCCCCUAAUUUUCUUUGUAAUAUGUUAAGAUCUCGUUGUGAACAUGAAGAAAAUGUUCCUCUUGAUUGGAGAUUGAAUAACAUGUUUUAAACUCAUUCCAAAUCUUGAAAUUAAAGUUCAUGAAAUUACUGCUGCUGUGUGAAUACAGUCAUACAAAUAAAUUAUAAAUUGUAUUAGUGUAGUAAAGGGCAUGAAUCAACAGAUAGAAAAAAACACAUCUUGUCAUGUUUAUAAUUAUUGUUGCAAUUAUCUUUCUGAAUUGGGAAUGAAAUAGACUUUGCUUGAAGUGUAAAAGUA